GAUCAUGGCUCAGAACGAACGCUGGCGGCAGGCUUAACACAUGCAAGUUGAACGGGAUUUGUGUGGUGCUUGCACCAUAUAAUGAGAGUAGCGCACUGGUGAGUAACACGUGGGAACGUGCCUUUUUAGUGGGGGAUAACAUCUGGAAACGGAUGCUAAUACCGCAUACGCCCUGAGGGGGGAAAGAUUUAUUGCUAAGAGGUCGGCCCGCGGUAGAUUAGGCAGUUGGUGGGGUAAAGGCCUACC
RNAcentral lists this ribosomal RNA (246 nucleotides) under uncultured bacterium. RNAcentral's name for it is "partial 16S ribosomal RNA". It matches the Rfam family "Bacterial small subunit ribosomal RNA", at positions 15 to 269 of the family's 1533-position model. The record is from RNAcentral.